CCUCUUGGCAGGGCUCCUCCUGUCCCUCCGGUCUCCACAUGAAGUCACCUCUGCGGACAGGCCGUCUCCUCCCCACUGCAGCAUCCUCCGCGAAGUGCCCCCGGGGCCCACGCAGUACCGUGGGAGCACAGGAGCUGCUCCUGGGAGGAAGGGAUGGCCCACGCUCCUCCCAGGGCCGGCUGGUCACCCCCGGGCCCUGCAGUCCUGCACAGACCCCUGCCAGACUCUGGCCCUGGAGGACCCCUCACCCUCGACCCUGCCGAACUCCAGAUUUCUCUCGGCCUUCCGUUUGCGCACACACUCGGUGCCAAGCCUGUAGCAGGGGCUGGGGCGCGGCCUUCCCGGAUCUGCCGCUGGCGGGGGGGGGGGGGGGAAGCAGGGGUGCAUGAAGGACAUGCCGCAGCGAUCUGAGCAGGGCUCUGAGCAGCCAGAGCGUCGGGGACAAUGAGGGGGCAGGCCUCCGUGAGAAGGUGUGUGACCCUCCACCCCCCCAGCUGCCUGCGAGGGCCCAACAGGCUAAGGUCACCACAGGGUGUGCCUCCUGCCAGGCUGGUGGCCACCACUGGCUCAGACCACAUGUCCCCCCCCACCACAAGAGUGCUUUCACAGACUCCCUCGCAUGCUCUCCCCGCCAGGGUGCUGGCCUCUGGUCCUCAGACCCGGCUGCCAGCCCAGCCCCCUCAGUGCCCUAGGGGGCCUCUGAGCUCUGCUUUCCUCCAAGGCCAGCCCUGAGGUCCAGGGGUCCACUGGGGAGCAAGGCAGGGGCUCGUAGGCUUGGGGACAUUCAAAGCUGCCCCUGAGCCUCUAACUCCUUAUCCAGCCCCCGAGGAACAUGCCGGAUGCCUCCGGGCAGCCCCGCGGCACUUACAGGUCCCAGCCGGCCCUCCACGGUGCCCUUGGACCUCCUCCGCGGACUUCCGUUCUCCCAGUGGCGGUGGUGUUUUUCACGGAUCUCUUUGGUUCAGGAUUUAGCUUCUGCAGCUGUCCGUUUUCAGGAAACUGGAAACACUCGCUCUUCACGACAAGCAAGCGCAUCUCCAGGCCUUCGCCCGUCCGGUUCCGGUACCGUCUCUCGGAUCAGUGGGCAGGUCCAAGCACCAAGGUUUGGUCCUCGGCUCCUGUGGGAUUUCACUGCCUCCACGAGCAGGUCGAUACCAACAGUGGCAGAGCCGACAGCGCGGGGAGGCCUGCACAUGUUCCUGCACCCUGGCUUGGCACGAGUUCCUAGCUGGCCCUGCAGAGGUCUUGGUUGGAGGCGUUCAGAACAGAGCGGCCCCACCCUGGCCCCCUGAGCCGAGGGAGGCAGCCCCCGGGUCACCGGAACCGCCCGGUCCCUCUUCUCCUGGACCAAGCCUCCCAGGUCGCUGGGCGAGCGGGGCUGUCCCCAGUGCUGACUCGAGGACCAAAGCCAAGGCCGUGGGACGGUCUGACGUGCUCCUACACUGUCAGUCCUGGCUGAGGUCUGGGUUCAGGUGCGGGAGCUGCUCCGAGCACCCCAUUUCUCAUCACCUCCGCCCUCUGUUGCUGGACAGCGGCCCAGAUCUGCGGCCGCCUCUGCCCAGUGUCCCCACUGGCGCCUCCGGCCCAGGUGCAACCAGCAGGGGGUGCUCUUCUCCUGGGGUUUAUUGCCCAUUUCCCUUCCUGUAGGACUCCAAACAAAAGUUUCCAAAAGGCUGAAAGCCAAGGAUCCAGUUCUGAAAUCCCAGCUGAGCCGCCCCCUCCGAAGGAGCUGGAAAACCCCAAGCACACGUGGCCUUGCAGCUGCUGCUUUAUGCCUCGGGCAUCCCAGCCCACAGAGCUGUCCACACCGUGUCCCCGGGCCGGAAGGACCACCUAGAGAAAUGCUGAGCUGGGAGGAGGUCCUUCUGGCCCUCCAACCCCAACACUCCUAUGAGUAGCUGCUAGAACUUGUCGCCUGGAGCCCCUACAAGCACCUGCGAAAAAGAGCAGAAAAACAGGACGUGAAUCACUGGUCACAAUCACUUGGAGUGUCAAGAUGGGGCCUCACAGCGAGCGGUUACUACAGACGGCAAUUUUUAAAACAGGCGGGUUAAAAUACAGAGUCAAAUGAGA
This is a long non-coding RNA of Herpailurus yagouaroundi (jaguarundi), 2073 nucleotides long. RefSeq lists it as uncharacterized. The transcript has 4 exons. Lineage: Eukaryota; Metazoa; Chordata; Mammalia; Carnivora; Felidae. The record is from RefSeq and is a predicted model, not a curated record.